RNAcentral lists this long non-coding RNA (216 nucleotides) under Ananas comosus (pineapple). RNAcentral describes it as "long non-coding RNA (ACOM_LNC022462)". The record is from RNAcentral. Lineage: Eukaryota; Viridiplantae; Streptophyta; Magnoliopsida; Poales; Bromeliaceae.
GUUAGAAUAGGUUUAUCUCCUCUAGUCCUAAAAGGAAAAACAUUCUCAAAGUACACUGUAUCUCUAACCUUAAUAAUAGUGUUGUUAAAAAUCUCACUAAUUUCAGAAUUCACCACCAAAAUUGCAUUGCUAUCUUGUGCAUAACCAACAACAAUUGUAUCCACAGUUUUAGGUCUAAUCUUUCUCUUCUUAUUCGUAGGUAUCUUAACUUUAGCU